UCAUUAAUAAUAUUUAUCUUUGUUUCCUCAGAACUGCAGAACCUGAGCCAAACUUCAAACUUUUUUUUUUCUGGGCACUGGCUGAAAACCGCAGCUGUGCGCUCCCAUCGCAGCCCCGGUGCCUGGCUCUGCUGUCAGCUGGAGGCUUGGCUGGGGCUCGUGGCCCCAAGAACCUGGCCAGCAGAACCUGAGCUGGGGCUGGAGGUUUGCCCUCCGGGUACUUCUCGAGAUGUGGCAAACAAACAUAAACUCCUUCCAAAGCUGUGUCUAUCCCCAGGUGCUUGUAGGAGCCCGGGAGGGACGAGAAAAGAGGGGCAAGCGGUGCAAAACCCCGCAGCACCAUUCCCAUGCCACCGGCUGCCCGCGCUCUGCAUUGCGUCUCCGCGUCUUUGUGCUCCUGCUCCAGCCACAGCCUUGUUGGAACAGCCCAACCAUCCUCCUGCCUCAACCAACCACCACUUUUGGGUGACUAAUCUGGGCGAAAGCAGGUUUGAGUGUGCAUUGCAGAGCUGGAGGGCACUGGCACCUUGUCACCUCCUGGAACCGAGCGAGAAUGCGUCUCCAGCUCCGGCAUCCACCUGCAAGCCAAGUCACAUUUUUUCUACCGACCGUUCACUUCAGCUCCCUGCGUUCUCGCUCAUCGGAUGCUCGGUGUUUUCACAGAGGCUGGGACACGGCACUGGGGGCCAGCACAGGCUUCGUUACAAAAGGCCGAAUUCCCCAUCCUGUUGGGGAUGA
Molecule: long non-coding RNA, 738 nt
Filed under: Anas platyrhynchos platyrhynchos (common mallard)
Lineage: Eukaryota; Metazoa; Chordata; Aves; Anseriformes; Anatidae
Description: lncRNA (ENSAPLG00000028095.1)
Source: RNAcentral